GAAGGACAAGACGUUUUAUGAAGGAGUUCUUGAUUCCUAUGACCCCAUUAAAAAGAAGCACAAGGUUUUGUAUGCUGAUGGGGAUGAAGAAAUACUAAAUCUCAGAAGGGAACGUUGGGAACUAAUUGGUGGUGCUAUUUUGCCUGAUGAAGAGCCCAAAACUGAUAUACCAAAUGCUGAUCCUUCAUCUGAUAAACCACAAAAGCAAAACGGAGAAGUGAUUUUGGAGUCAGCCAAACAACGGAAGAUUGAUUUGAAAGGGAGCAGAGCCACCAGCAUUUCCAAGAGAAAAGCUAGAAAAUCUGCCGGUGCUGUUACACAGGAUGAACCUAUUGUUGCUGACAAAG
RNAcentral lists this unclassified non-coding RNA (347 nucleotides) under Hevea brasiliensis (rubber tree). The record is from RNAcentral. Lineage: Eukaryota; Viridiplantae; Streptophyta; Magnoliopsida; Malpighiales; Euphorbiaceae.